Molecule: long non-coding RNA, 2567 nt
Organism: Stegostoma tigrinum
Lineage: Eukaryota; Metazoa; Chordata; Chondrichthyes; Orectolobiformes; Stegostomatidae
Exons: 6
Source: RefSeq, a predicted model, not a curated record
CCCAGCCGCUCUGGGCGUUACUGUGUAGAGCAGUCGGACACUGUGGAACCUGUCUGACCGGUUCAAAGCUCAUUCAUUCAUUCCCUUGAGAGAUCGACAUGGAACCGUUGGUCCAUUCAGAACAGCCCCCUGAUCAGCUCCACCCCCUAAACCUGAGUGAGGGUCGGGGACUGGGGAAAGACAUGGUUAUUUACUAAAGGCUUGUCUUACUUUCUUCUCACUUUCUCCAUCCGACUGCCUCUCUGAAAUAAAACAAAGAACGGUGGCUUCAGAAAUCUUUCCAAAUUGACGUACCUGUAAUUGAACAAAAACAGAGUUGCUGGAAAAGCUCAGCAGGUCUGGCAGCAUCUGUGGAGGAAAAAACAGAGUUAACGAUUCGGGUCCGGUGCAUUUUUCGGUCCGCAUCUGAGUGGACUUACACAGGCUCUUGUUGAACUUCCUUUUACAACUCUCUGCAUGAUUGCAUGGCAUCUUGCCACAUUUGGAAGUCUUCCAAGGUGUAUGUUAAAGAUGAAAGGCAGCAAUUUGAAGAUCAGCAGGUCGGGAAACCAAGGACUCAGUUGCAGGGGAGGAGCAGCUUGAAAAAUCUUCAUCAAAAUAAAGAACAAGAAAGAAGAAUUAGCUUCAAGAUAGCUUGAGAUAGUAUGAUUACUUUUGCUUUAUGCUGUAAGAAUGUUUUAUGCUUGUUUUAAAUGUUUAAUUUGGGGAUGGUAAAUUUGUCAGAAAAUUAAAAUGUGUAAGGGUACAGGAUAAAUCUUUGUACUGUUUAUGAUUUAAAAUAAUUUCCAAAUGUUUUUGAUCAGAUAAACCAUAAAAAGGUUAGAGCUUUAAUUAACUAAAUUAUUUGGUCCAGCAGAUUAUAGGUUUAAUAAUAAAGCAGUAAUGUUUCUAUGACUAUUGGGGUGUAUAGACAGCAUAUUGCUGAAAGUUAGUUUGAAUGUAGCUGACAAGGUUUUGGAGUAGUUUGUAGCUGUUUGGAGUUUUGGAGUAGUUUGUAGCUGGGUGUUGUGGCUGGUUGGCUCGCCGAGCUGGUUUGUUGUUCUGCCGACGUUUCAUUCCCCUGCUGGGUAGCAUCAUCAGUGCAGCCUCCGAUGAAGUGCCGAUGUGUUUUCCCGCCUGGUAUUUGAACUCUGGUGUCCGUGGAGCUGGAUUACCUCAAUUCCGGUUUUCCUUCACAGUGCGUGUAUAUGGGGUUGUGCUCAAUAUGUUUGUUGAUAGCUUUCUUCGUGGAGUACCAGGCUUCGAGGAAUUCCUGUGCUUGUCUCUGCUUUACCUGUCCCAGGAUCCUGGUGUUGUCCUAAUCAAAUUGGUGGCUGUCCUUAUCCGUGUGCAUAGAGGUGCGUGAGUAUUGGUCAUGCCUUUUUGUAGCCAAUUGAUGUACGUGUGCCCUUGUGGUUAAUUUCCUUCCUGUUUGUUCAACAUAGUGUAUGUCACUGUCUCUGCAGGGCAUCUUGUACGUGACAUUAGUCCUGUCCAUAGUGGGUCUUUGGUUCAGGUGAGCAGUUGGUGAAGGGUUGAUUUGGGUUUGUGUGCUACUCUGAUACCCAGUGAUUGUAGGAAUCUUGUGGUCAGUUCUGAUGAGCUCCUGAAGUAAGGUAGUGUGAUGAAUGUGUCGGGGCGUGUAGUAUCUUCCUGGUGUCGCUCGUGUGAUAGGCAUCUUCUGACCCAGUUUUUCGGACAUCCAUUGUCCAUGAAUACCUGGAAGAGGUACUCUUCUUCUUCUCAGUGUAGCUCUGUGCUGCUGCAAUGUCUUAUAGCCCGUUUAAAUAAUGCUCUCAUGCAACUUUGUUGAAUUCCUAACAAAGGUAUACAGGAAAGCCACGCACACUGCUGAAUUUCGCCAGCAACCACCCUAACACACACAAACAAAGUCGCAGGACUGUAGAUAUAUGGGAAUAUAACCACCACUGCCCCUCACCAUCCUAACUUGGAAUUACAUCAUUCUUCCUUCAAUGUUGCCAGGUCAAAAUCCAGAAACUCCUUUACCAACAGCUUUGUGGGUGUAUUUACAACACAUAAGCUGCCGCAGUUCCUUACCACCACCUACCCCAGAGCAGUAAGGAUGAGCAAUAAAUGCUGGCCUCGACAGCAAUGCCAGGAAUGAGUUAAGAAACGGUCAACUCAGGAUUUCAGACUAAACUCUGGAAGUGCUGCAAGGCUACGAAGUGUACAGUCAGGGUGUGAGGGAUACUGCUGAGGUUAGUCAGAAAGUGCAGCUGAGAAUGGAAAGCAGAGAUGCUGCUGGGGCAUGGGGAAUCUGCUAGGACCAAGUAGAAGGGGUUUCUUGGUGUAGAUACUUGUGCAGAUUCACUGCUAUUAGAGUCUCACAGAUAUCGUUCAUGAUGUUCACAGGCUUUCAUUUGUGGGUACUGUAGGUUUGAACAUGCAAUAAUGUGCUGAAGAUUUGGCAGUCACUGCUAACUGACUGAAUGUGUUCUACUUAAUAGCUUCAUUUCCAACAGUGAAACAAAAUGCCCUUCCUCUAGCUGUGACUGCGUUCCCGUCCGUAAAAUUCAGCCUACUACUGGUGAUGGGGAUGUUAUUGUGAGGGGGAGGGAAUGCAGAUG